RNAcentral lists this unclassified non-coding RNA (528 nucleotides) under Melitaea cinxia (Glanville fritillary). Its description in RNAcentral is "misc RNA ENSMCXG00005013679.1". The record is from RNAcentral. Lineage: Eukaryota; Metazoa; Arthropoda; Insecta; Lepidoptera; Nymphalidae.
CCUAAUGCAGAGCAGCCAAGGCAAAACGACAAUUGCAGACGCAUAAGUGACCGAUGGCCGUUGGAGCAGACGUGUCCUGGAGUGAAGACUGCGUGUUGGCAAACGCAGUGAGGGACGUCCUUCGGCCCGCUGGUCUGGAUGAGGAUUGCGGAAAACUGGGGUUUCUGGCGCGAACUUGGAGAGGCAUAUGUCCAUUAGACUGCAAUAGACUGAACUGACUUACUGACAUAUAGAAAUAACAUAUCUUUACCCAAUACACCAUUAAUGUUAUACGAGCAGUUUUUGCUGUGGCAUGAGGAGUCUCGGCACCCAGAUGUCUGAUCUUAGUCAUGCCAAGACGCUCGUGAAUAAUUAUAAAAAUUUUCAUAUAUAUACUGUAACUACUUCUCAGUUAUUUCUUUUCUAGUUGGACAUCUUCCAAUACUCAAAUUCUUCAACGUUUUAAAGGAUUUUUGGAGUGCUCCCUUCAGUGGACCGUACCGGCCAUGAAUUGUCUUCUAGUGAUUCGUGGCCUUGCUUAGAGGCACU